Molecule: transfer RNA, 81 nt
Filed under: Treponema sp.
Lineage: Bacteria; Pseudomonadati; Spirochaetota; Spirochaetia; Treponematales; Treponemataceae
Also listed under: 2 other names
Description: tRNA-Leu
Rfam family: tRNA
About the family: Transfer RNA (tRNA) molecules are approximately 80 nucleotides in length.
Source: RNAcentral
GCCCGGUUGGCGGAAUUGGUAGACGCGCUCGGUUCAGGUCCGAGUGAUUUUAUCAUGCGAGUUCAAAUCUCGUGCCGGGUA